GUCUACCAGGUCCCAUUAUACGGCUAAGGGCCGGCCUUGCUCCAUGCAUUUGUACUUUCUUACUAUACAUUACGCUCAGCAGAAUCUUGUGGUAAAAGCAAAUGAAUCACAAUAGCAUGGGCCACGUACAAAUAAAGGGAACUCGAGAGGAAAAUUGUCUUCUGACUUGUUUUCAGCAUGAUAUCUGAGUUCCUGCCUUUGGUAUGGGAAUAUGUGAUACAGUGGUGUUGGGAAAUAAACAGAUCUAGCUGGAAAUAACAGAUCUGCUUCUUUGGUCUCACAGCACAGCAACACUUGAAUAAACAUGAAAUGUCCCUGGGAAGAGCCCUCCAGAAGCUACUGCCAAGUGACAGACGGAUGAGUUGAAAGGUUGCAACAAGGGAGAAGAACAGAAGGGCAUGUUCAUUAAUGCAAAAUACAAGGAGAGAGCAGGGAGAGCAAGUCCUUGAGGAGGCAGAAGCAAGACUUGACACUUUCUUAGCAACUGAGUGCUACCACCAGGAAAAAUGGCAGUACAAUAGCCAAAGAGGGUACUAAGACCUCAUCAAAAAAUAUCAGUAACGUUCCCUGUUGCAUCUUAUAGCAUAUACCCACUCUGUCUGCAGUGUGCAAGAUAAGAUAAACCAGCACGGGACCUUGAUGGACUAGAGUUGACUUUAGCCCUGUUCAGUGAAUCUACAGCAGAUUAUAAAAAUCUGUGAAUUUGUGAUAAAGCUAUGACUUUUUGCUUCUGGAGGUUAAACAUUUGAUGUCUC
RNAcentral lists this long non-coding RNA (755 nucleotides) under Anser brachyrhynchus (Pink-footed goose). RNAcentral's name for it is "lncRNA (ENSABRG00000020413.1)". Lineage: Eukaryota; Metazoa; Chordata; Aves; Anseriformes; Anatidae. The record is from RNAcentral.